UCCUCGUUAACCGAGGCAGUCCCCCUAGAGUGCCCGGCCGAACCGAUGGCAACUAAGGGCGAGGGUUGCGCUCGUUGCGGGACUUAACCCAACAUCUCACGACACGAGCUGACGACAGCCAUGCAGCACCUUCUCACCGAUUCCCCGAAGGGCUGCCGUAUUUCUACGACAUUCCUGUGCAUGUCAAGCCCAGGUAAGGUUCUUCGCGUCGCGUCGAAUUAAACCACAUGCUCCGCUGCUUGUGCGGGCCCCCGUCAAUUCCUUUGAGUUUCAGCCUUGCGGCCGUACUCCCCAGGCGGGGCACUUACUGCGUUAGCGACGGCACCGGGAGGGUCGCUCCCCCCGACGCCUAGUGCCCAUCGUUUACGGCGUGGACUAC
This 379-nucleotide unclassified non-coding RNA is filed under the name uncultured bacterium. RNAcentral's name for it is "contains 16S-23S intergenic spacer region". The record is from RNAcentral.